GGGGAAUUUUCCGCAAUGGGCGAAAGCCUGACGGAGCAAUACCGCGUGAGGGAUGACGGCCUAUGGGUUGUAAACCUCUUUUUUCAGGGAGGAAACAAAUGACGUUACCUGAAGAAUAAGCAUCGGCUAACUCCGUGCCAGCAGCUGCGGUAAGACGGAGGAUGCAAGUGUUAUCCGGAAUCACUGGGCGUAAAGCGUCUGUAGGUGGUUGAAUAAGUCAACUGUUAAAUCUUGAGGCUCAACCUCAAAACCGCAGUCGAAACUAUUCGACUAGAGUAUAGUAGGGGUAAAGGGAAUUUCCAGUGGAGCGGUGAAAUGCGUAGAGAUUGGAAAGAACACCGAUGGCGAAGGCACUUUACUGGGCUAUUACUAACACUGAGAGACGAAAGCUAGGGUAGCAAAUGGGAUUAGAUACCCCAGUAGUC
Molecule: ribosomal RNA, 425 nt
Filed under: uncultured cyanobacterium
Lineage: Bacteria; Bacillati; Cyanobacteriota
Description: bacterial SSU rRNA
Rfam family: Bacterial small subunit ribosomal RNA
Source: RNAcentral